This 253-nucleotide ribosomal RNA is filed under the name uncultured bacterium. Its description in RNAcentral is "partial 16S ribosomal RNA". It matches the Rfam family "Bacterial small subunit ribosomal RNA", at positions 524 to 776 of the family's 1533-position model. The record is from RNAcentral.
UACGUAGGGUGCAAGCGUUGUCCGGAUUUAUUGGGCGUAAAGAGCGUGUAGGCGGCCAGGUAGGUCCGUUGUGAAAACUCGAGGCUCAACCUCGAGACGUCGAUGGAAACCAUCUGGCUAGAGUCCGGAAGAGGAGAGUGGAAUUCCUGGUGUAGCGGUGAAAUGCGCAGAUAUCAGGAAGAACACCCGUGGCUAAGGCGGCUCUCUAGUACGGUACUGACGCUGAGACGCGAAAGCGUGGGGAGCGAACAGG